RNAcentral lists this ribosomal RNA (253 nucleotides) under uncultured bacterium. RNAcentral describes it as "partial 16S ribosomal RNA". It matches the Rfam family "Bacterial small subunit ribosomal RNA", at positions 524 to 776 of the family's 1533-position model. The record is from RNAcentral.
UACGUAGGGCGCAAGCGUUAUCCGGAAUUAUUGGGCGUAAAGAGCUCGUAGGCGGUUUGUCGCGUCUGCCGUGAAAGUCCGGGGCUCAACUCCGGAUCUGCGGUGGGUACGGGCAGACUAGAGUGAUGUAGGGGAGACUGGAAUUCCUGGUGUAGCGGUGAAAUGCGCAGAUAUCAGGAGGAACACCGAUGGCGAAGGCAGGUCUCUGGGUAUUAACUGACGCUGAGGAGCGAAAGCAUGGGGAGCGAACAGG